This 165-nucleotide unclassified non-coding RNA is filed under the name uncultured Lachnum. RNAcentral describes it as "sequence contains ITS1". Lineage: Eukaryota; Fungi; Ascomycota; Leotiomycetes; Helotiales; Hyaloscyphaceae. The record is from RNAcentral.
CAGAGUUCAUGCCCUUCGGGGUAGAUCUCCCACCCUUGUGUAUCAUUAUAGAAUGUUGCUUUGGCGGGCCGCGCGCCUGGCGUGCCUGGAUUCGCGUCCAGCGUGCCCGCCAGAGGACCCCUAAACUCUGAAUGUUAGCGUCGUCUGAGUACUAUUAAAUAGUUA